Molecule: ribosomal RNA, 388 nt
Filed under: Oxyrrhis marina
Lineage: Eukaryota; Dinophyceae; Oxyrrhinales; Oxyrrhinaceae
Description: partial Bacterial small subunit ribosomal RNA
Rfam family: Bacterial small subunit ribosomal RNA
Source: RNAcentral
UUGAGAGUUUGAUUCUGGCUCAGAACGAACGCUGGCGGAAGGCUUAACACAUGCAAGUCGAGCGCCCUGCUUGCAGGGAGCGGCAGACGGGUGAGUAACGCGUGGGAACGUGCCUAUUGGUUCGGAAUAGCCCCGGGAAACUGGGUUUAAUACCGAAUGUGCCCUUCGGGGGAAAGAUUUAUCGCCAAUAGAUCGGCCCGCGUUAGAUUAGCUAGUUGGUGAGGUAAAAGCUUACCAAGGCUACGAUCUAUAGCUGGUCUGAGAGGAUGAUCAGCCACACUGGGACUGAGACACGGCCCAGACUCCUACGGGAGGCAGCAGUGGGGAAUCUUGGACAAUGGGCGAAAGCCUGAUCCAGCCAUGCCGCGUGAAUGAUGAAGGCCUUAGG